Trichomycterus rosablanca is the source of this 82-nucleotide non-coding RNA. Lineage: Eukaryota; Metazoa; Chordata; Actinopteri; Siluriformes; Trichomycteridae. The record is from the annotation of a RefSeq genome assembly.
GCUGUGAUGGCCGAGUGGUUAAGGCGUUGGACUUGAAAGCCGAUGGGGUCUCCCCGCGCAGGUUCGAGCCCUGCUCACAGCG